RNAcentral lists this transfer RNA (75 nucleotides) under Patescibacteria group bacterium. RNAcentral describes it as "tRNA-Lys". It matches the Rfam family "tRNA". From Rfam's summary of the family: Transfer RNA (tRNA) molecules are approximately 80 nucleotides in length. Their secondary structure includes four short double-helical elements and three loops (D, anti-codon, and T loops). Further hydrogen bonds mediate the characteristic L-shaped molecular structure. tRNAs have two regions of fundamental functional importance: the anti-codon, which is responsible for specific mRNA codon recognition, and the 3' end, to which the tRNAs corresponding amino acid is attached (by aminoacyl-tRNA synthetases). tRNAs cope with the degeneracy of the genetic code in two manners: having more than one tRNA (with a specific anti-codon) for a particular amino acid; and 'wobble' base-pairing, i.e. permitting non-standard base-pairing at the 3rd anti-codon position. The record is from RNAcentral.
GGGGACGUAGCUCAGUGGUAGAGCAGUGGACUCUUAAUCCAUUUGUCGAGGGUUCGAAUCCCUCCGUCCUCACCA